Long non-coding RNA from Oryzias melastigma (Indian medaka), 1813 nucleotides. RefSeq lists it as uncharacterized. Lineage: Eukaryota; Metazoa; Chordata; Actinopteri; Beloniformes; Adrianichthyidae. The transcript has 2 exons. The record is from RefSeq and is a predicted model, not a curated record.
UAGUCAAAACAUUAAGAUAGUUGACAUCAUAUGCAAAUUAAUCUUAACUAAACUGUAACUUGCUGUGCCUUUCCAUUAGGGGUGUGCCAAAAAAAUGAUAUUGCGAUAUAUCGCGAUAUUUAGUCCUGUGAUCGAUUCCCGAUGGGUUCUCACCAAGUAUCGAUAUUAUAUUUUCAUUUGAAGAGGCUGUUGUGCUUUGCGUCUGAGUUGCGCGGCGGAACUAUUGAGCAGCUGGGCGCGCUGCGUUGGACUUUUAAUAGCGAUGCACGUGCUCAUUUGGAAGAAGCACCGGUGAGAUACAGUCUCUGGCUGUGUCCAAAUUCAGGUUCUGCAUCCUCCCGAGGCCAUGGCCUUCGCGAUUUCCGAUGUCCGGGUCCUUCGUUAGCGGGUAUACCGGAUGUUAAGUGCAGUGAAUUUGGACGGUCUAGCCUUGUUUUUUUUUUUUUUUUUAACUUUAUUGAACAAACAAAACAACAAAAGCUGUUUUAACUUUGCUAGCUAGUUUCUUGUAGCCUGACUGGCCACAGUGAGUUGAACGUGUUGUGAAUCAUUUAGCUCGAAAUGAUUCUGAGUUUUUUUUUAAAUGUAAAUUUUACUUUUGGCGGGGUUGUAAGAAGAACCAUCGCUACCACCGGCACGUGGUAUUUUUCCGGCGGACACAAAACGAUCUGCAGGAACUGUGUACAAAGGCUUAAAAAACAUCUACGAGCUCUUUUACAUAUUAGCUUUAGCUAGUUUAAUUGAAAUAUUUAUUUAGCAACACUAUUACAAGUUGUAAAAUAUACAAAUACUGAAUUUGUGGGUUUGUGGAUUAUUCAAGUUUUGUUUAUUUCACAAGUUAUUGCUGUAAAUGUAACUUAGUAUAAGUACCUACACUUUUCUGAGAAUUAAAAACAUGUACCAAAUAACUACAAUGGGUUCUUAUUUGAUUAAUCAUACUACAAUAGUGUUAAAUGUUAAUUUAAUCUUCAGACUUUUGUUGCAGCAAUUAAUUUUUUUUGUAUUUAUUUGAAAAUUUGAUUUGAAAUCAGUAAAAGUAGUUUUUGUAAUGAUGUUUUAUAGUUUAAUAACAAAUUACUUAAAACCACAUAUUUUUAAUAUAAAUGUGUUUCUUGUGUAUUUCAUUUUAACUAGACUAGACACCUGUAAUCCAGAAUCAACCAGUCUCUCAAUCCUUUAGCUGUUUGUCCAACAGUGAAGACCCAAGAACAGACUUCAGAAUGAACAGGAACUCUCCUGCAGUCUUCCUGAACCUCCUUGAUCAGGAUCGGGGACAUCCAUAUCCUCCUGCAAGUGCUGGAGCUGCAUCACACUUCUGUACCUCAUGUUGUCACAGCGUGUGCCAUCCUCCACAACAUCUGCCUCUGUGUUGACGACACCGAGGCCCCAGAGGAAGAUGUGGAGGUGAUGAUGAGGACGCUGGUUUGGAGGUCACCAGCGGUACUCUCUGACAGGAUCAACUACCGGCUGAGGUUUCGGCCCUGGGGGAGGUACCACCUUGAUUACUGGUAACAGGUAAUUAAAUAAUCAAGAUUUUUUUUUCCAAGUUUUUUUUUUUCCAAAGCCUAUAAAUUCAUUAUCUCAUAUUUAUGGAUAAUUUUUGGUCAUGCGGCAUCCGUCCACAGCCAGCCCUGCAAACCCUGAAGAUGGACGAUACAGUCUACAGUGAAGAUGAUCCUGAAACUCUCAGCAGACCACCUUGCAAGAUGUUACAAUCACCACCCAGAAAGUUCCAUCCCGGGUCUCAGUCGAAGCCCCCCCCCAUCCAUGUCGACUAUCUUUGUAAAUAGUUGGAAAUAAAAGUUACAAUUAA